Molecule: ribosomal RNA, 497 nt
Filed under: uncultured bacterium
Lineage: Bacteria
Description: partial 16S ribosomal RNA
Rfam family: Bacterial small subunit ribosomal RNA
Source: RNAcentral
GGUGAACGCUGGCGGCGGGCCUAAUACAUGCAAGUCGAGCGAACAGAUAAUAAGCUUUCGCCUCUGAGGGUGGCGACUGGCGGGUGAGUAACGCGUAGAUAACCUACUUAUAAUACGUGGAGAACUUCGUGAGACCGGUGCUGAUACCACAUCAUAUGUUCAACGGCAUGAUUCAGUAGUUCAUCACACUUUUCCUGUCUGUUAUAGAUGGAUCCGCGCCGAAUUAGCUAGUUGGUAAGGGAACGGCCUACCAAGGCAACGAUGCGUAGCCGACCUGAGAGGAUGAUCGGCCACACUGGAACUGAGACACGGUCCAGACUCCUACGGGAGGCAGCAGUGGGGAAUAUUCGGCAAUGGGCGCAAGCCUGACCCAGCCAUGCCGCGUGAGUGAUGAAGGUCUUCGGAUCGUAAAACCCUGUUAUUAGGGAAGAAAAGCUGUGUAAGUAAAUCCCGCUGUUCUGACGGUACCUAAUCAGAAAGCCCCGGCUAACUACGUG